This 497-nucleotide ribosomal RNA is filed under the name uncultured bacterium. RNAcentral's name for it is "partial 16S ribosomal RNA". It matches the Rfam family "Bacterial small subunit ribosomal RNA", at positions 28 to 507 of the family's 1533-position model. The record is from RNAcentral.
GAUGAACGCUGGCGGCGUGCCUAAUACAUGCAGGUCGAGCGAACAGACGAGGAGCUUGCUCCUCUGACGUUAGCGGCGGACGGGUGAGUAACACGUGGAUAACCUACCUAUAAGACUGGGAUAACUUCGGGAAACCGGAGCUAAUACCGGAUAAUAUAUUGAACCGCAUGGUUCAAUAGUGAAAGACGGUUUUGCUGUCACUUAUAGAUGGAUCCGCGCCGCAUUAGCUAGUUGGUAAGGUAACGGCUUACCAAGGCAACGAUGCGUAGCCGACCUGAGAGGGUGAUCGGCCACACUGGAACUGAGACACGGUCCAGACUCCUACGGGAGGCAGCAGUAGGGAAUCUUCCGCAAUGGGCGAAAGCUUGACGGAGCAACGCCGCGUGAGUGAUGAAGGUCUUCGGAUCGUAAAACUCUGUUAUUAGGGAAGAACAAAUGUGGAAGUAACUAUGCACGUCUUGACGGUACCUAAUCAGAAAGCCACGGCUAACUACGUG